CAGGGCUGGGGAGCUGAUAUAAGUCAGGCUGAGCUGAGGCUGGCUGCUUUUUGGUGGAGUGGUUGGGCAAGGCAGUGCAGUGCUCUGGGUUCCUUCAGUCAGAUCAUCUUGAGCAUCAGGCAGCAGUGCUGGCUGGACCUCGGAUGCUGUUUGCUUGGGUAAGG
Molecule: long non-coding RNA, 164 nt
Organism: Lagopus leucura (white-tailed ptarmigan)
Lineage: Eukaryota; Metazoa; Chordata; Aves; Galliformes; Phasianidae
Exons: 2
Source: RefSeq, a predicted model, not a curated record